This 1235-nucleotide ribosomal RNA is filed under the name metagenome. Its description in RNAcentral is "bacterial LSU rRNA". It matches the Rfam family "Bacterial large subunit ribosomal RNA", at positions 1564 to 2808 of the family's 2925-position model. The record is from RNAcentral.
UGAAUACGAGACGCUACGGCGUCGAAGCAGUCUAUGUCAUACUUCCAAGAAAAGCUCGCAAUGUCAUAAACAAAUAAUGCCUGUACCAUAACCGACACAGGUGGGUAGGUAGAGUAUACUAAGGGGCGCGAGAUAACUCUCUCUAAGGAACUCGGCAAAAUGACUCCGUAACUUCGGGAGAAGGAGUGCCUUAUUUAUAAGGUUGCAAUAACAAGGUCCAAGCAACUGUUUAUCAAAAACACAGGUCUCCGCUAAGUCGUAAGACGAUGUAUGGGGGCUGACGCCUGCCCAGUGCCAGAAGGUUAAAGAAGUUGGUUAGCAUUCGCGAAGCUGAUAACUGAAGCCCUGGUGAACGGCGGCCGUAACAAUAACGGUCCUAAGGUAGCGAAAUUCCUUGUCGGGUAAGUUCCGACCCGCACGAAAGGCGUAAUGAUUUGGAUACUGUCUCGGAGAGGGGCUCGGUGAAAUAGACUUGUCUGUGAAGAUGCGGACUACCUGCACCUGGACAGAAAGACCCUAUGAAGCUUUACUGUAACUUGAAAUUGAAAUUGGACUUUAUUUGCGCAGCAUAGGUGGGAGGCGUUGAGAGUAUUCUUGCGGGAAUAUUGGAGCCAUCAGUGAGAUACCACUCUUGUAAUGUUAGAUUUCUAACUUUGGAUCAUUAUCUGGUCAAAGAACAGUUUCAGGCGGGCAGUUUGACUGGGGCGGUCGCCUCCCAAAUGGUAACGGAGGCGUACAAAGGUUUCCUCUGAACGGGUAGAAAUCGUAUCUAGAGUGUAAAGGCAUAAGGAAGCUUGACUGUGAGACCUACAAGUCGAGCAGGGACGAAAGUCGGUCUUAGUGAUCUGACGGUGCUGAGUGGAAAGGCCGUCACUCAACGGAUAAAAGUUACUCUAAGGAUAACAGGCUGAUCUCCCCCAAGAGUUCACAUCGACGGGGAGGUUUGGCACCUCGAUGUCGGCUCAUCGCAUCCUGGGGCGGUAGUACGUCCCAAGGGUUGGGCUGUUCGCCCAUGAAAGCGGUACGCGAGCUGGGUUCAGAACGUCGUGAGACAGUUCGGUCCAUAUCCGGUGUAGGCGUUAGAAUAUUGAGAGGAGCCUUCUUUAGUACGAGAGGACCGAGAAGGACAUACCUCUGGUGUACCAGUUAUCGUGCCAACGGUAAACGCUGGGUAGCUAUGUAUGGAGAGGAUAACCGCUGAAAGCAUCUAAGUGGGAAGCCCACCUCAAGAUAAG